This 105-nucleotide non-coding RNA is filed under the name Nitrospina gracilis. RNAcentral's name for it is "TPP sequence". It matches the Rfam family "TPP riboswitch aptamer (THI element)". From Rfam's summary of the family: Vitamin B(1) in its active form thiamin pyrophosphate (TPP) is an essential coenzyme that is synthesised by coupling of pyrimidine and thiazole moieties in bacteria. The previously detected thiamin-regulatory element, thi box was extended, resulting in a new, highly conserved RNA secondary structure, the THI element, which is widely distributed in eubacteria and also occurs in some archaea. Lineage: Bacteria; Pseudomonadati; Nitrospinota; Nitrospinia; Nitrospinales; Nitrospinaceae. RNAcentral also lists the same sequence under 1 other name. The record is from RNAcentral.
AAAUUUUGCCGGGGGUGUUCUCGUCAGAACUGAGAGCUCUUAAAGGGCAACCCUCUGAACCUGAUCUGGGUAAUGCCAGCGAAGGGAAGGCACCCAUCAUAAUGA